This 450-nucleotide ribosomal RNA is filed under the name uncultured bacterium. RNAcentral describes it as "bacterial SSU rRNA". It matches the Rfam family "Bacterial small subunit ribosomal RNA", at positions 29 to 524 of the family's 1533-position model. The record is from RNAcentral.
AACGAACGCUGGCGGCAUGCCUAACACAUGCAAGUCGAACGAGACCUUCGGGUCUAGUGGCGCACGGGUGCGUAACGCGUGGGAAUCUGCCCUUGGGUUCGGAAUAACAGUUAGAAAUGACUGCUAAUACCGGAUAAUGUCUUCGGACCAAAGAUUUAUCGCCCAGGGAUGAGCCCGCGUAGGAUUAGCUAGUUGGUGAGGUAAAGGCUCACCAAAGGCGACGAUCCUUAGCUGGUCUGAGAGGAUGAUCAGCCACACUGGGACUGAGACACGGCCCAGACUCCUACGGGAGGCAGCAGUGGGGAAUAUUGGACAAUGGCGAAAGCCUGAUCCAGCAAUGCCGCGUGAGUGAUGAAGGCCUUAGGGUUGUAAAGCUCUUUUACCCGGGAUGAUAAUGACAGUACCGGGAGAAUAAGCCCCGGCUAACUCCGUGCCAGCAGCCGCGGUAAU